Molecule: long non-coding RNA, 663 nt
Organism: Musca domestica (house fly)
Lineage: Eukaryota; Metazoa; Arthropoda; Insecta; Diptera; Muscidae
Exons: 2
Source: RefSeq, a predicted model, not a curated record
CUCCUUUCUCAUAGUUCUCAGUCAAUUUCAAAUGAUUGGCAACACUCCUCAGCUCUCCUGGCGUCAUUUGAAUUUAAACGUCCAAUAAAGAAACGCCGCCAAGCAAUCAGCAGACAUUUUAUCAGAUUUGUUUAAUAAUUUUAAUUAAAAGGCUCUUUAAUAAACAAAGGGAGGAAGAAUUUACUAAGAAAUCGAAUGAAUCUAAAGGGGAACAUGAAUACAUCGGCACAAAACCAAUCACAGUCGCAGCCGCCACGUAAAACGAAUGAACACAUUCAGGUUUACGUGCGAGUAAGGCCAUUGAAUCGCCGUGAAAAAUGCAUACAUUCCACAGAAAUUGUAGAGGUGGUGUCACACAAGGAAAUUGUGGCUCGUCAUUCUCGUUGUGGCUCGGUAUUGGAUGAAGAGAUAUAAUUCAGAAAUUUUGACAAUACUAUAAUAGAUGAUAUCUGUAUUGGAGAUUUGCGGUGGUUUGGAAAUGCGUUCUAUAUUUGCACGAAAAGUACUAAUUGGUACUAAAUUUGGUAUUGGGCGAAUAGAGCUGGAAAUUUGGUUUUGCGGUCACCGUUGAUCUUACGGUUUGAGGCAUAAAUUUGGUUUUGGAAAUGUGGUAUUAAAUUUGGUUUUGGGUGAAGCGAUGGAGCCGGAAAACCCAAAAUUUUA